Molecule: long non-coding RNA, 756 nt
Organism: Drosophila santomea
Lineage: Eukaryota; Metazoa; Arthropoda; Insecta; Diptera; Drosophilidae
Exons: 2
Source: RefSeq, a predicted model, not a curated record
GUUUACUUCUCAUUUUCAGUCUGAUUUUAAAAUAUAAGAAACUAUUAGGCUGUUAAAAUUUUUAGUUUUAAAUUCAGAAUGCACGCUUGUAAAGUAUACGGAACCAUCUGUAACAUUGGACUACUAGUUCUAAUCGAAAUGAAUUACAUUUUUCGCAUAAUUUGCCAGCCACUGAGGUCCGAGGAUACUGAUCUGAAUUCGGCUAUAUUUAUUGCUGCCAUCCACAUUUACCUACUCCAAGUUGGACCACUUUGCAUGAUCGGAAGUCGAAGAAUAACUGCGACAAAACAUUUCAUUCGUUCUACAAUCCUUCACAUGGCGGGUGUCCAUCUGGCUCUGGCUCUCCUUUGGAACCCAACAGGUCUUGUGGUGGAAGGCAUUUUGUCUGCUGUGAAAACAAGUGAUUUACCCCAAUACAUGCACCUGAUUCGUCUUUCCACGGCCUUGAGCUUCUUGUGGUGCUGCUGGAAUCUUCCGAAAAAUCUGUGGGAUGCCCUUCCAUCGGAGAUCCAAUUAGGAAGUUUGGGCUUGCAUUAUAGGGAACGCUUUCCGAGGCGAAGAAAACCCUCAUAUCAUGCUGUUUCCAGGGGACUCCUAAGUCGUAUUUAAAUUGAUAUAGCACCCAAUGCAAUCAAAUAACCAUUGUCGAGGUGUGUAAAUGUGUGCUCAUCAUAUUUGACUUUCGAAUGUUUACCGACUGUAUAAUAUUCACAUAAUAUUUGUAUGUUUUAUAAAGUAGUUCUAAAAACAUGAAAA